RNAcentral lists this unclassified non-coding RNA (387 nucleotides) under soil metagenome. RNAcentral describes it as "partial contains 5.8S ribosomal RNA, internal transcribed spacer 2, and large subunit ribosomal RNA". The stretch from base 1 to 120 matches the Rfam family "5.8S ribosomal RNA", at positions 35 to 154 of the family's 154-position model. The record is from RNAcentral.
GAUGAAGAACGUAGCGAAAUGCGAUAAGUAAUGUGAAUUGCAGAAUUCAGUGAAUCAUCGAAUCUUUGAACGCACAUUGCGCCCAUUAGUAUUCUAGUGGGCAUGCCUGUUCGAGCGUCAUUAAUUCCACUUAAGCCCUGCUUAGUGUUGGGAAUCUACUCUAGUGGUGCUACCCUGGAGCUACCCCUGAAAGGGGGCUGGCCCGGUAGCUACCCUGUAGUUCCUCAAAGAUAGUGCGCGGAGUUGCGUGGUCCUCUGAGCUUAGUAACUAUACACCUAGCUUUUGAGUGUCCCGCGGCGCCUGCCGUUUAAACCCCAUCUUUUAAUGGUUGACCUCGGAUCAGGUAGGAAUCCCCGCUGAACUUAAGCAUAUCAAUAAGCGGAGGA